UCUCACUACGAGAGUAGGUAAGGUCACGGGGAGAAGACCCGUUGAUAGGCUUUAUGUGGAAGUACAGUAAUGUAUGUAGCAGAGGAGUCCUAACAGACCGAGGGCUUGACCUC
This 113-nucleotide ribosomal RNA is filed under the name Cylindrospermopsis raciborskii MVCC14. RNAcentral describes it as "partial 23S ribosomal RNA". It matches the Rfam family "Bacterial large subunit ribosomal RNA", at positions 2812 to 2925 of the family's 2925-position model. Lineage: Bacteria; Bacillati; Cyanobacteriota; Cyanophyceae; Nostocales; Aphanizomenonaceae. The record is from RNAcentral.